UAAAAUGCUGUAAAACCUUGGAAAGUAAUUUUAUUCAUUGCAUUUUUUGACGAAUGCGAUUGCGUGAUUAAUAAAAUGGUAACACUACGACUUGCUAUGAAAAAAAAUUUCAUCCGCGUUUUCGUACUGUUCAUUUUGUGGCGUUAUAGUUUCAAAGUGUUCAAUUGUUGUUUCCUCCUUGAAUUACCCUACCUGGCCUGAAAUUUGAUACUGCUGCUUGCUUCCACAUCCGACCCGGCGAUCCUAAGGACCUGUGUUUCUGCUUAUUGUACCCUACCUGACCUGAAGUUGGACACUGCAACUUGCUUGCAUAUUCGACCUGGCGCAACUCACGGACUCCGAGACUCCUCCACGUGUUACGUACGAAAGUUAAAAAACAUGCCAAAUAAUCCUAAAUGCUAUUUUGGACGUACGGGUGGCGGGACACUGCACCAAUUUCCCGAUAGGGCCAAAGACCGACAAACCGAACGAUUUAAGAAGUGGAAAACGGUGCUUUUACCAGACGCCCAACAAAAAGGCAAUGCAUACAUAUUUAAUAUGAUUCGUCUAUGUAAGACAUUUUGAAGACUGUUACAAAUCCAAGACCAGUCACCGACUAACAAGAAAUGCUGUUCCAACAUUACAUCUAGAACAAACUUCUGCACCAACAACAUUAAAUGUGACCACUGCAGCUAAUCCUGAGGUAUCUCCAAGUUGUUCACAAAAUGGGCAAGGAAUGCAGUCUAUCGAGCAAAUGUCUUCAGCUUUAAUUGAAGAGCCUGAACCAGAGACUUCUACAAGUCAACAGAAAAA
Hyposmocoma kahamanoa is the source of this 792-nucleotide long non-coding RNA. RefSeq lists it as uncharacterized. Lineage: Eukaryota; Metazoa; Arthropoda; Insecta; Lepidoptera; Cosmopterigidae. The transcript is spliced from 4 exons. The record is from RefSeq and is a predicted model, not a curated record.